Non-coding RNA from Potamilus streckersoni, 73 nucleotides. The record is from the annotation of a GenBank genome assembly. Lineage: Eukaryota; Metazoa; Mollusca; Bivalvia; Unionida; Unionidae.
GCUCCGGUGGCCUAGUGGUUAGAGCGUCCGCUUUGGAUGAGGGAGGUCAUGAGUUUGAUCUCCAGUCGAGUCA